This is a long non-coding RNA of Engraulis encrasicolus (European anchovy), 967 nucleotides long. RefSeq lists it as uncharacterized. The transcript is spliced from 3 exons. The record is from RefSeq and is a predicted model, not a curated record. Lineage: Eukaryota; Metazoa; Chordata; Actinopteri; Clupeiformes; Engraulidae.
ACAGCAGAGGACUCCGAUGCGGAGCCGCGUUCAAGUCACCACAUCCGUGUCACUGUCACAUUCCUUUGGGUUCCACUUGGUGGAUCAGGGUCGCCACCGUGCGCCGCCCCAAAUUCUACUGUCAAAACGCGGACCAUAAUCGCAUCCAUAUCUGAUUCACAAACGCGGACGCGCUGUAAAAUCUAACGGACGUUGGUACAGUUUUUGUUGGGGCAGACACGACCGAACAGCGCUCUCCAUAAACAGGUGGAAUUACCUCUGGGUCGGACAGGGCUAGCCGGCUGUAAUCCACCCUGCUACAGUGAUGCCCGCCUGCCUCCCGGCUUUUACGACCAAGAAUCGGAGCGCUGAUGUGAUGUUUCCCCGUCGACUGAUGAGGGAAGGCAGCCACGACACGCGAUUGUUCAACAUGACAGUGAGACAGAAAAAUAAUGUCAAGAUAAAUAAAAAAUCAUGAUGAGUGAAGUUCUUCGUCAGGUUGUGUUUUUUUCGGGAUCUUAUUUAAACGGUGUCUAGGCCAGGUCUGUGUUAUCUGUAGAAUUAAAUCUAAAUGCUGUUUGUAACGGUUAACUGGUUUAGUGUUCGUUUAUUGGGAUUAUAGCAUAAUAAGAAAGUAACUUUAUGAGCACGGAUCCAAAAUGGUCCCGGCCCGGAACAUCUAUGAGUCCGGAAUGGGUCCGUAACUGAUAAAAAGUAGUGGAACCGUGACGGAUGCAAUAAGUGGACACGUAAUGAGUCCGCAUCGGAUGUCGCGCCUCCGAACCGGGCUCACUGCGGAGGUACGCUUCUGCACGCGGACCCGUUGCGGGUGACAAACGGGUCCCUUUUGACUCCGCACCACGCCUCCGCGUCGGAUGAUAGGCGGCGUGCAAGUGGACGCCGAUACGGCCCCGUUUACCGGAUCCGUUCCGGAGGAUGGCCUCCGGAUGGUGGACUCCGGGGCGGAUCCAUUACGGUGUACUUUUGC